UGGAUAAAUACAAUAUUGAAAAAGUUUACAAUCUGAUAAAACUGAGGAAAGAACUCAAACUACAUGACUGAAUCUGACUGACGUCUAUGAAUCCUCUACUAUACUGACUAUAGAUAGCUGGGACAUGCCUCCAACCACUGCUAAUUAAUACAUAUGAAUAAUAAAAAUAAAAUACAUGAACAACAUCUAACUGGAGUCCUCGAAAUAGGAGAACUCAUCACCUGCUAGCUGGAAACUGCAACUGUCUGAUCAUGAUGUACAGGCUACAACUAGUACCUACAUUAUGAAACAAUGUAGUCACAUAGACGCAUAUAUGGAUCAGUACUUCUAGAAUGUUCUGAGUAAAUGGGGGUGAACGCCAUACGUAAAAAUGAAUAGGUACAUCAUCUUAAAACAUGCAUGCUAAGUGCAAGUAGACUCAUCAAGACACUGAAAUCAACUAAAAUCUUAAGUAGCUUAAAUCAUAAGUAACGAACAUAAUCUAAUAAGUUGGUGAAUCAUUACACUUAGUUUCUUAAAACUUUGAUCUUGCAGAAUAAGUAAGACUGAAGCUGGGAUAUGGUAAAACAUGAAUACAUGAACAUACAAAACCAAACAUACAUAUACUGAGCAGAUCUGAUUAACUAAAUAAUUGAUGCAUGGAUGAUGGAAUGAUUGAAAUAUAAGUAAAGAGAUAACUAAUAUGUAUAUACUGAGUAGCUGAUAUAUGAAUAUGGACUACCAAUAUCCAAACACUGAAUAGCUAAUGACUAAAUACUGAACGACUGAUAUCUUAAUACUGAUUAUGUAAAAUUGAACUAUACUUAGUUGAAACAAUUGGACUAAAACCGUGGACUACUGUCCAUAUGAGAUAAGGACUGACUGAACCAUAUGAAAUAGUUGAGCAUGAAUGCAUGAAAACUGUAACAUCUGAGAAUGCAAAACCAAGUAUAAUCAUAUUUCUGAAAUAAUCUGCAAACUAAAAUACUGAAAUAUGAUAACUGAAUAACUAAGAAUCGGUAUGCUUUGUUCAAGAAAACCUUAACUGAAACUACACUAAAUAUUGUACUGAGAUUGUGGGAGGUAUUAUCUAACCGACAUACCCCAAUCUAAGCUAAUCAGGGUCUAACCUGUAACCCCAGUUGGAAGGAUGUCAGUACCGUGCCACGGGUAUUAACACUGGUUGUGAAUCACCCUAUCCUGGCAUAAGUGCUCAUGAGAUAUGUGUCAACCCUAAAUUGGCAGGAAAACAUCUCAAACCUACGUUAUCCACGUAGUUCUGUAACUCAGGGAUUGCUACUAAGGGUUAAAUCUUAAACUGGCAGGAAUACCCCUAUCCCUGGAUUUGAUCGAUACGAAAUCUUACUACUAACUGGAAGACAUUGAAAUACUGACUAGUGCAUGCACUGAUAACUGAUAAGCUCAGGUCAUGGUAUUUUGAAAACAACAGUGCAUACAGAUUUUAAUGUAAUUGAAAACAUGUAAAGUGAUAAUGCUCAAUAUGCUCAUAACAAAUUGAGUUUAAAAAUAAAAUCAUGAGUUGACUGACUCAUUACUUGAAAGGUCUGAAAUCCUAUAAAAACAUAUAGGUAUCGGGGGUUCAUAACCCGCCAACACUGAAUGACCAUAAAGCACGAUCUCAAUACUUAAAACUAUAGUAUGGGAAUCAUGUUUCAAAGACCCAAAACAUGAGCAUUCCCACCAAAUAUAUGAGAAUCCUGAACUUGAAUGUGGGGUCUGCUUUAAACAUGAGGAAAUGGCAUGAUUACAUGACUAAAAUCAUAAAUUAGGGAUUUAACAUGGAAUUCACUUGAAAUAGUACAUGGAAAACUAAAAUUCAUAGCAUGAGAAAGUCAAAUCUUGUAUGGAGUCAUACAUGGGCUAAAUUUAAUUUAAAUCACCAUGAAAACAUGAAAUUCAAUCUUUCUUGAACAUUCCAAAUACCAUAAUGAUAGAAAAUUCAUUAUCUAAUUGAAAGAAAACGGUUUUUGAACUCUGUGGGUGGAAGGGGGCCCAUGGUGAACUCCCACAUACCUUAAUUUCUUGAUUUCAUGAUGAAAGCUUGAAAUUGAACUUGAAUUUCUUGAAGAAGAAAUCUUGAAUUUCUUGCUCUUGAAAAGAAACCCUAAUCUUAUUGUUCUUGAGAUUCUUGAUGAUGGGAGAAAGAAAAACGUGUUAAGGGACAGCGGAUGGGGGAAAAAUAACACCAUCUUAUGUUUUUAAGUCAUGGGGGUAGGGUUUGAGGUGAGGAAAAGACCAAGAAAAAUGUGUUAAGGGACAGCAGAUGAGGGAAAAAUAACACCAUCUUAUGUUUUUAAGUCAUGGGGGUAGGGUUUGAGGUGAGGAAAAGACCAAAAUACCCUUCUGAAGCUAAAUAAAAAUUGAUGGAAUUUUCUUUAGUUGAUGACUUGGUUGAUGGCAUGUCAAUUGGUUGACAGCCUAUCAGCCUAAUCGUCAACUCACUUUCAUGUUCUGGUUAUGGGUGACGACUUGGCUGAUGGCUUGUCAACUGGUUGACAGCCUAUCAGCCUAGUCGUCAACUCCUUCAGAAUUACUGCCUAAGGUUGACGACUUUGGCUAAUGGCUUGUCAACUAGUUAACAGCUUACCAGCCUAGUCGUCACUUUGAAGAAAGAUGGAUAUGCUGAGGAAAAAUGGUCAUAACUUCCCACUCUGAUAUCGAAUUAAGGUGAAACUAGUUGCAUUGGAAAGAAAACUCAAAGAUCAUUUGAUAUAUAAUAGGACACCUGAAUCAAUAUUUGUAUUAUAUAGAAGAGGUGGUUUCAACCACCUCUGAUGUAAUUACCAAAAUACCCCUCUACUCUCACUUAAU
This 2811-nucleotide long non-coding RNA is filed under the name Capsicum annuum. RNAcentral describes it as "long non-coding RNA (CANN_LNC015855)". Lineage: Eukaryota; Viridiplantae; Streptophyta; Magnoliopsida; Solanales; Solanaceae. The record is from RNAcentral.